GAUCAUGGCUCAGGAUGAACGCUAGCUACAGGCUUAACACAUGCAAGUCGAGGGGCAGCAUGAGCUUAGCUUGCUAAGUUUGAUGGCGACCGGCGCACGGGUGAGUAACGCGUAUCCAACCUGCCCUUGUCCACCGGAUAACCCGUCGAAAGGCGGACUAACACGGUAUGUAGUCCACAGCAGGCAUCUAACGUGGACGAAAUGUGAAGGAGAAGGAUGGGGAUGCGU
This 228-nucleotide ribosomal RNA is filed under the name uncultured bacterium. RNAcentral's name for it is "partial 16S ribosomal RNA". It matches the Rfam family "Bacterial small subunit ribosomal RNA", at positions 15 to 236 of the family's 1533-position model. The record is from RNAcentral.